This 281-nucleotide ribosomal RNA is filed under the name uncultured Entrophospora. RNAcentral describes it as "uncultured Claroideoglomus partial 18S small subunit ribosomal RNA". It matches the Rfam family "Eukaryotic small subunit ribosomal RNA", at positions 591 to 870 of the family's 1831-position model. Lineage: Eukaryota; Fungi; Glomeromycota; Glomeromycetes; Entrophosporales; Entrophosporaceae. The record is from RNAcentral.
CCAAUAGCGUAUAUUAAAGUUGUUGCAGUUAAAAAGCUCGUAGUUGAAUUUCGGGAUUGACGUGAUGGUCGUGCCUUAAGGGGUAUGAACUGUCGCAGUUGAUUUCUCACCUUCUGGAGAAGCAUGAUGUCCUUAAUUGGGUGUCAUGUGGAACCAGGACCUUUACCUUGAAAAAAUUAGAGUGUUUAAAGCAGGCAUUUUGCUCGAAUACAUUAGCAUGGAAUAAUAGAAUAGGACGGCAUGGUUCUAUUUUGUUGGUUUCUAGGAUCACCGUAAUGAUU